This 417-nucleotide unclassified non-coding RNA is filed under the name uncultured Sebacinaceae. RNAcentral describes it as "sequence contains ITS2". The stretch from base 1 to 154 matches the Rfam family "5.8S ribosomal RNA". Lineage: Eukaryota; Fungi; Basidiomycota; Agaricomycetes; Sebacinales; Sebacinaceae. The record is from RNAcentral.
AACUUUUAGCAAUGGAUCUCUUGGCUCUCGCAUCGAUGAAGAACGCAGCGAAAGGCGAUAAGUAAUGUGAAUUGCAGAAUUCAGUGAAUCAUCGAAUCUUUGAACGCACCUUGCACCCUUUGGCAUUCCGAAGGGUAUGCUCGUUUGAGUGUCAUUGUACUCUCACACUUCUGAUCCUUUGGAUCGGGAGCGGUGGACUUGGGUGCUGCUGCUUUACUGUGGCUCACCUCAAAUGCAUUAGUGCAACUCUUGGUUGGACAUAGUACGGCGUGAUAAGUAUCUUCGCCGGCACCUCGCAAGAGGGUGGCUGACCAGGGGCUCUGUGCUUUCCAACUGUCUUCAGACAACAACUGACAACUUGACCUCAAAUCGAGUAGGACCACCCGCUGAACUUAAGCAUAUCAAUAAGCGGAGGCU